AACGCAAAAAUCACAGCCAUUCGUGACGCCAAAGCAUUCCUUUGAGGUUGAACCCAUUACGGCGUUCUGACCCAUGACCAACGGGAUAUUGUUACGCUUUUAGGGAUGGACUGGAGAACAAAUUAAUUGAUCUUGGGUGCAGCAUUUCAUGUUUAACCUUGUUGUUAUUAAGGGAUUACCUUCGUGUGCCCGUAUGGGAAGUGGUGCAAUGAUCAGCUAAACAUUU
This 226-nucleotide small nucleolar RNA is filed under the name Suhomyces tanzawaensis NRRL Y-17324. The record is from RNAcentral. Lineage: Eukaryota; Fungi; Ascomycota; Pichiomycetes; Serinales; Debaryomycetaceae.